UGCAAGGCGGUUGCCCUCGUCGUCGUUGGUGCCGAGCGGCGCUUUCCCACACAAAGGAUCUCAGCAACGACCCCACAUGUCGUGGCAUGCGCGAGAAUUGUUAUGUUGGGAGGACCAAAACGGGCAUCUUUUCGGACGGAGGAAUAUUCCACGUGGAGUGGGAUGAUUGGCUGAGCCCCACCCCCAAUUGGUGAAAAGGAAGCUCGCAGUGGGAGGAGGAACCUUCUGCGGUCGUCAUCUUUUAUGCCUUCUUGGGGUAUUAGAGGGGGGAAGAGAGAGAGAGAUGAACUGUGUUUGGCUUCGGGUGGUGGCAGACAUGAAGAGAUCUAAUCAACUCCUCCUGCUCUUCUUCUUCCUCCUCCUCCUACGUAUGGUGCACUCACUCGACACCAGGGGAUUAGCACGCAUACAGGAAGCAGCUGCAGCGACCAACACAACAGCAGCAGCAGUAGAAAAAGUGACAGGUGGCGCGUCAUCCGGCGGCCGAGGCGGAGGGCACGGCAGUUCGACGGGCGGCACCGACGGUGGGAACACGGACAGCAGCACCAGUUCCGGUUCGGGCUAUGGAUCAGCGACUCCGAAUCUUCAAGGCGCGGCAGAUCACCCGAGGAACGAUAAACCCCGCAACAGAAACGAUGCGAGCAGCUACCGCUUACCACUCCCCGUCAUCCUCACAGCUGUUGCGUUCUCGCUGUUGCUGCUCUUACAUGAUUUAUAUUAUUAGUAGCCGCCUCUCACAAUGUAUCUCGAUCGAAAGUGGCUGGUGAAGAGGAGUGUUAUCCGAGUGGUGUUUGAUCGUUUGUAUGAAUAGUAUUUGAAUUAACAUAUAUUCCACUCGUCCUUCUCAAGUGAA
Molecule: long non-coding RNA, 853 nt
Organism: Musa acuminata AAA Group (dessert banana)
Lineage: Eukaryota; Viridiplantae; Streptophyta; Magnoliopsida; Zingiberales; Musaceae
Exons: 2
Source: RefSeq, a predicted model, not a curated record